UGUGUGCUCAGACCUGAAGCUUUCCAUGUUGUCACAGCUGAACAGGUUCUAUUAUCGCAACUUACAGUGAUUUGGACAACAUUUCAACAUUUCACAAGACACUUGGAAUUUGAAGAAUUAUUUUGCGUGACAGUGCCAGUGUAAGUGCGUUUCAAGAGAACAAGCGCGCCCCCUGCAGAUAUGGGUGUCAAAAUGCUGCAGUGUUUUCCCUUCUACAGACGCAGCAAAGAGAGGGGCAAAAAACAGUGUCCUCCUGAGACGGCAGUAGCCAGUGAAGAGGUGAAACCUCGGCUAUAUUCCACUACCUCUUGGGGCAGUGAAGGGGACGGCAGCAUUAGUCCGAGUUGCCCACAGGCCUAUUUUUCCCACAAGGCUCGGCUCUCACUUCGUCACCAGAUGGAUAGCAACAUUAAUGCAGUGGAUGCCACAUACUAACUUUGUCUCGCAGGCGGUCUCUGGAGAAUCCUUGAGAGUAAACUUUAGAUUUACAGCCCAAGUCCAGUUUAAGUCCAUUGUUGGAGAGUUUUUUGCCGGGAACUGGAGGAUGAGCCAUUGGGAGAAACAAGCAGCAUGGAAGUUUGCCUCUUCUUGCAUGCUUAUGGACACUCACUGAAAUCAGCUGUAAGCACUGUAGUAACAACAUCAAGAUAAGUGUCUGAAUUUCUUUAAUUGAACAAUACAGCAAUGAGUGUAAAAUGGUACAGCUGAGUGUAAUUUGGUGAAAGGGGAUAAUAUUUAACACUCUUAAGAGAACAAUAAGUUUACAUGAUAAACAAUAAUUGCUUUUUUUCUAGCCUAUAGCUAUAGCCUACAGCUAUACAUCCAUCUGCAGUAUCUGAACUGGAUACUGGCUUUAUCUGAGGAGACGUUGACAUCAUUAUGCAAUUGGUUUUUUUGAGCCAGAUAUAAAUUCGUUCAGUAGGAUACUUUGAUGAAUAGCAGUAUACCUAAUAAAAUUAACCGUGUUUUUCCCUACUGAUUAUAAAUUCAGUGUGUACUGUGAAGCACCUGAAUGUUUUUUUAUUGUACAUAAAUAGAAAAGUGGUUUCGAAAGCUUAUUUUGUUUUCAAUGUAUGUGCCAUUUUCUCUGCCCUGCAGCUGCAUCAAGGUCCAUUAACAUAGUGUGCACUGCUCUAACUUUAAUUAAUGUUUUUGUUACGUUUAGAUUUCAGGGCUUUUUGAAAUAUGCCCUGACCAUAAAAACAUUUUGCUUGAGAGAUGUUUUUGAAACAGUUCUGUUAAAGAUGGUUGUUUCAUCGACUUUAUGCAAGUUAAACAUUACCAACAAAUGCAUUAAUACGAAGACGGCCUGGUUUUUAAAUCUUUAUAAGGUUUUCUUAUUGCAUGUAUAAAACCUCUCAAGUGAA
Molecule: long non-coding RNA, 1367 nt
Organism: Carassius gibelio (silver crucian carp)
Lineage: Eukaryota; Metazoa; Chordata; Actinopteri; Cypriniformes; Cyprinidae
Exons: 3
Source: RefSeq, a predicted model, not a curated record